RNAcentral lists this ribosomal RNA (434 nucleotides) under uncultured Erwinia sp. Its description in RNAcentral is "bacterial SSU rRNA". It matches the Rfam family "Bacterial small subunit ribosomal RNA", at positions 958 to 1391 of the family's 1533-position model. The record is from RNAcentral. Lineage: Bacteria; Pseudomonadati; Pseudomonadota; Gammaproteobacteria; Enterobacterales; Erwiniaceae.
AUCGCGAAGAACCUUACCUGGCCUUGACAUCCACGGAAUUCGGCAGAGAUGCCUUAGUGCCUUCGGGAACCGUGAGACAGGUGCUGCAUGGCUGUCGUCAGCUCGUGUUGUGAAAUGUUGGGUUAAGUCCCGCAACGAGCGCAACCCUUAUCCUUUGUUGCCAGCGAGUAAUGUCGGGAACUCAAAGGAGACUGCCGGUGACAAACCGGAGGAAGGUGGGGAUGACGUCAAGUCAUCAUGGCCCUUACGGCCAGGGCUACACACGUGCUACAAUGGCGCAUACAAAGAGAAGCGAACUCGCGAGAGCAAGCGGACCUCACAAAGUGCGUCGUAGUCCGGAUCGGAGUCUGCAACUCGACUCCGUGAAGUCGGAAUCGCUAGUAAUCGUAGAUCAGAAUGCUACGGUGAAUACGUUCCCGGGCCUUGUACACACC